CUCAACGAAAAAGAAAUAGAAAAAAUAAGAAGAAGAAUGGCACCUUUGACUGUGAGUCUCUUCAUUUUGAUUCACAAAUAUUUGUCCUUGCAUGGGUAACUCCUUUCCUUUUUUUUU
This 117-nucleotide non-coding RNA is filed under the name uncultured eukaryote. The record is from RNAcentral.